GGAAAGCUUUAUCUCAUUCACAUGUGGAAGAAUUAAGGCAUUACUGGGGUUAAGUCAUAAAGUAAUGAAGUCCCAUCGAUUAUUAUUGCAGUUAACAAUUAUUUUUAAUUAGUUCAGUAAUCGCACAUCAACGCUGGGGGUAUUAUACAACUCGUCUCGAAGAGUUAUUGUCCGUUAUCGAGCCCGAGUUAUCUUUCUUCUUUCGAAACCGUAAACAAAUGGCGGCCAAAAUCUACGUGAACGACAGUCUCGAUUUACAAGUAUUAUUGCCAAGAAAACGAAAACGGGUUUUGAAAGAAAAUAAUUCAGUAGCUCAUAGAAAUAGAAUUUUGAAACACACGUGUGCUUAAGAAAUGUUGCCGAAUGGAAGUGAAAGUGAUAUACAGUAGGCAAUGACAAAAAUUAUCUUCCGACUCAAUCAAUCUACGUUUUCGACACUCGUUUUUAAGGCAAACUGCUUCUCACUCUAUGAAAAGGUUACGGACGCUCAACCUAUGAUAUUUAUCUACAUUUUAUCAAAAUUUGACCGCACAACUCGCUACGGUUCCCGAGUUUUCAAUGACCAAAACUACGAGGUCGUUUUUGCUGAAGCACAUGUCAAAUUAAUCCCGGUCAGGCAAACGGCUCGUGCAAAUAAAUUUCGGCCAGGGAAUCCCGCG
This 659-nucleotide long non-coding RNA is filed under the name Mytilus galloprovincialis (Mediterranean mussel). The record is from RNAcentral. Lineage: Eukaryota; Metazoa; Mollusca; Bivalvia; Mytilida; Mytilidae.